This is a long non-coding RNA of Papaver somniferum (opium poppy), 4326 nucleotides long. RefSeq lists it as uncharacterized. The transcript has 9 exons. The record is from RefSeq and is a predicted model, not a curated record. Lineage: Eukaryota; Viridiplantae; Streptophyta; Magnoliopsida; Ranunculales; Papaveraceae.
CACAGAUGCAGAGAGAGUAUGAAAUGAGUUGAUAGAUCUAAGUUAUUGGUUGAUCCAAAUACUAAAACAAGAUCAUCAGACGUAUUCUCUAUUUUCUGUCAAAGAUAUGGAGGUGUUAGGAAGAAGAAUUACCAGAAAAUCGAAAUUGUUGUUAAAGAAUCAGGUGAUACAGAAGAGAAAGAAGAAAAGGAAGAAAAACAAAAUGGUUUAUUUGUUGAUCUUGAUAGUCAGUAUGAGCGGAAUCGAAAAGUUUAACAAUCUUAGAGGAAGAGCUGCUGUGGUAGACCAGCGAGUUGCAAGCAGAGCCGAUAAGCAAUCGUGUGUCGGCAAUUCUGUAACCUGCUUAGGCGUCAUAAUCUUCUCGUAGUUGAUUUUUUCAAAUGUUCAUUGAAGUCAACUUCCUGGCCAUUUCCAAACACGUCGUUAGGACACUUACCAGAAGAAGUGUAAUGGUUUAAGGAUUUGUUCGUACUAGAUGAAUGUUAUGGAAAGCUACCCUUUAGGAACAAGAAAGCUAAAUGGAAAAGACAUCACUAUACACCCCACGACGUGGAUUGGAAGGAUUUUCUAAAAUUUUGGACUACUAAAGAUCAUCAGGGUCCUUCAUAUAAGUAUCAACUCGUUGCAGCAAUCAUUCAUGUUGGGAAUGAGUCUACUUGAGGCCAUUACACCACCAACAAGCGCGGUUCAGAUGGCAAAUGGUGGAGGUGCCUCGAUGAGUCUGUAACUGAUGUGAGUGAGAACAAAGUGUUGCUUGGUGACACAUAUCUUCUAUUCUACUUACAAAUACAGUUGCAGCUCUGAUUGUGGGAUAUUCGUAAUGAAGUUCAUCGUCCUGAAAAUGGAUGUUUGUCGUAAGCUUGUUGGCCUUGGAGUUGUUCAAAAAACUGUAAUUUAAAGGGUAUGUGAUUAGAGUGUGGACUCUCGAGUCUGUUUUUUGUACGGUGUGUCUGCAUUUAGGGUCACUAGAAAGAAUCGCCACCUGACUAUGAUAGGUGUCUGAGAUCAACACGAUGGCAUUUUUCCUUAUCCAUGUUGCGCCAGGCCUGAGUUAAGAGGUUGUAGAAAUAAAGUUCAAACUUUUGUGUUUAAACUUGGUAGGUUUUGUUGCUCUCCCAAUAACUGUGGUGUAAUUAUCAGAAACUUCCACAUUGACUUGCAAGUGCAUCUGUAAAUUUAGCUUAAUUCUUUUGUGAAUGAAACAAUAGAUCAAACAAAAAACCAGCGGAUGCUUUUUGUUCAUAAACAAUAUUUUGACAGACACACAGAGGGAUAAUAGAAGUAGCCCGUAAUGAUUGUUUCGAAAUAACGCGGAAGGAAAAUCUCACAUAGCAACAUUUCCACUGGUUGCAAAGUGCAACACAUUUUUUUGGUUUGCCAAGUGUUUGUAAAAUUCUUUUUUAUGUUGUGAAACAAUUGAACAAUCAAGAUUCAAGGCUGUGGAAAGAAGCUGCCCUUAUCUAAUGGGUAGGCUGUCUUUAUCCAAAGGUUAUAUUGGUAAAAAUAACAAUAGUGUCGGUGUAGCUAUUUAGAAAGGGAAAGGGAAAUUGCAACUGGGAGCCAUAUAUCAAUCUGAGAUCUGGAAUCCCUAAACCCUCUAACUUACUACAUCAAACACGCAGAGAAUGAAAAAUGAGUAGAUAGAUCGAAGCAGUUAUUAGUUGAUCAACAAACAAAAAGAUAUGAAAGGUGUGGGAAGAAAAGUUGGUAAUGAAUCCGAGUUGUUUGGGUUGUUGUUACUAAAGACACAGAAGAAGAUCAAGAAGAAGAAGAAAAGGAAGUAGAAGAUCAAACUGCAUGAGUUACGUUGGAUCAUUGGUAUGAGCGGAAAAUACAAAUUUGGAAGAAAAACUGAUUGGUCACUUAGAGAUUUGACAGUUCAUUAUAAUACUCCACAUCCACAUGGAGGACUUCUCAUUGUUACUGAUGUUAUUGGAAAACCAACAGGAACAAGGUACACUUCUAAAAGAAGGCAUCUCAGUCAAGAACAGGUUUUCAGACGUCUACCGAUGCCAGGCAUUUCACUGUAUCUGCAAAGAUACCUGGAGUUUCGAACAAAAACAGAAAUUUGGGGGUCCAGUUUUAUAUAAAGUUAGAGCAAGAAUGAAAUGUGGUGCUGGUUAUAUUAUGCUUCUUUCCAGUUAUGUCAGACUUAAGAAAUUUGGUGGUGAUACUCCUUACAGGUCUGUAUACAAUUUCUCAGCUGUUGCAUUUUCUGUUAUGCCUAAAAUGUCGUACUUUCUUUAGAGUAUCCGUGGGUGACAUGGAUAACUCAUUUUGUUGCGUUGUGACGCGGGUCUAGCUGACCCUAUCAACUGGAUCAUCAUGAAUUGAUGAAAGACUCGCGUGAUCUUAAACAGCAUGUGGGAUAGUGGAGUUGAUUAGUUAAGGUCUGGCAGCCAAUGUCCUGUUCGCUCACUGAAAUGAGGGUAAACAAAAUCGUAUGCUAAGGUCUGCAGCAAGAAUGUCUCCAGAUUUUACUGAUGCAUGUUGCACAAGAAAUUAAGAAAAUCUAAAUUGUUUGAUUUUCACAAUUGAAUAGCAGUUGACCUGUUUCUGUCAUCAAACUUGUCUGGAAGUGGUUUUCUAUACCUGCGAUGUCUUAUUCUCACAAAUAUGUGUAAUACUGUGAUGUGAUGCGAUGCCGGGCAAUGACUCCAUCCUGCCGUUCCUGAUCCGAAAGCCUAAGAGGUCCGUUCAUUGCUCAUAAAUCGCAUAUUAUACUUAAUUUUGUCUUUGAUGAUUGCUCUCAUUUUUUGCUCAAGCUAGUCUUUCAUUGUAAUUCGCUCUUUUCCAAACAUACGUCUCACUAUAUCAAUUUGUGUCGUGGGCUUUGAUCAGCCUGACUCUGGGAUGACGAAGAAGAUGAACGAUUUUUUAGGGACCAUGGUUUUUUUUGGGGACCAUGGUCCUAUUAGACCACCUACCCUACAAUUUUAAGGGAUGUCCAUGGAAUUACUAAUUUACCCUUACCCUAAUUAAAAUUAACCCUAAUCUAAUAACCACCCCUAAUCUAAUAACUAGGGCUGCACAUGGGUCGGGUUGGGUCGGGUUUGGCCUCACCCACCACCCGACCCACUGCUGGUGGGUAAUUGAACUUUUCACCCGCAACCGACCCACCAUAACAAUGGGUCGCUUUUCACCCGACCCACAAUAAGGCGGGUUGGGUUGGGUCGGGUGGUGGGUUACCCGUCAUAUUUUAUAUCUUGCGGGAAAUUGAAAUCAAUUUCAAAUGAAUCCCUAGAUUUAUUUAGAAAGUCAAGAACAAUCAACAAUACAUAGAGUUCAACUAGUUGGGAACAAGUUUUAAGUUGAUUCAUACCUUCAGUUCACUAAUCAAGAUUCAAGAACAACGAAUUGACGAAGGAAGAAGAGUCUCCGUGACUCUGUCUCUGAGAAGGAGAGAAGAAGAGGCCGAAGUGAUAGGUGUGGGCUGCGAGUGCGAUGCUUAGUUAGGGUUAGGUAUUUUAUUUUUUCAAUCCAAUGGCUGAGAUUCAUUCUAGAAUAGAAAAUCUAAGGGGUAGCAUGCUAGGGAAUAUUGGGCGGGUUGGUGGGUCGGGUCGGGUGAAGGAAGUUCCUACCCGCAACCGACCCAACAUACGGUGGGUUUUCACGUGCCUCACCCAUAGUCGACCCAUACUUAGGUGGGUCGGUUCAGGUACGGGUAUUUUUCGACGGGUGUGGGUCGGGUCGGCGGGUCGAGUCGGUUAUGUGCAGCCAUAUUAAUAACUAUCCCUGAUUAAAAUUAACCCUAACUUAAUGUAAAACAAAAACAAAAUACUCUAAACCUAAACCUAGCCGCUCGAAAAGAAAAACAGUUCUCUUCUUCUCUUCUUCCCCAUUUCAACAUCAUCUUCAUCGAUUAAUCGUCGAUUCAUAAAAUUUUCAUCGUCGAUUAAUCAAUCGACUAUAAGAAUGGUUCUUCGAAAGAAAACCAAAAGACUCGCAGGAACAGGUCCCCCAUUAGGACAUCUAGCAAAUCAGCCAAGUGAUUUUGAGAUUCAUAAAGAAGUGGAGCAGCCAAGAGAAGUGGAAGAGCCAAGUGAAUCCAUAAUCCAGUAUAAUAGACGCAGUUCGAACCCUGAUUCUUCCAUGGGACCGAUUCGCAGUGGCAAAGGUAAGAAAUCCAACCAACCAUUACCGGAAGAUUUGAGAACUCCCACGUCUAGAGGCCCAAAACACUAAGGUGCCGAUAAGUGUGGAACCAAAAAUGCUAAGUAUGGAGGUGGGUCAUUACCUGGUGUUGUCAUCCAAGAUGGUGUCAAUAGAGAUAAUGUUGAUAACGUAAUCCAACAAGUUAAUGAAGAGAUCGUGGAAGAGAUGAGC